GCCGCGAUAGCUCAGUUGGUAGAGCGCCUCCAUGGUAAGGAGGAGGUCCCGGGUUCGAAUCCCGGUCGUGGCU
Molecule: transfer RNA, 73 nt
Filed under: marine actinobacterium MedAcidi-G3
Lineage: Bacteria; Bacillati; Actinomycetota; Actinomycetes
Also listed under: 7 other names
Description: tRNA-Thr
Rfam family: tRNA
About the family: Transfer RNA (tRNA) molecules are approximately 80 nucleotides in length.
Source: RNAcentral